UACGUAGGGGGCUAGCGUUGUCCGGAAUCAUUGGGCGUAAAGAGCGUGUAGGCGGCUCGGUAAGUCCGCUGUGAAAGUCCAGGGCUCAACCCUGGAAUGCCAGUGGAAACUGUCGAGCUAGAGUCCGGAAGAGGCGAGUGGAAUUCCUGGUGUAGCGGUGAAAUGCGCAGAUAUCAGGAGGAACACCAAUGGCGAAGGCAGCUCACUGGGACGUUACUGACGCUGAGACGCGAAAGCGUGGGGAGCAAACAGG
RNAcentral lists this ribosomal RNA (253 nucleotides) under uncultured bacterium. RNAcentral's name for it is "partial 16S ribosomal RNA". It matches the Rfam family "Bacterial small subunit ribosomal RNA", at positions 524 to 776 of the family's 1533-position model. The record is from RNAcentral.